RNAcentral lists this ribosomal RNA (253 nucleotides) under uncultured bacterium. RNAcentral describes it as "partial 16S ribosomal RNA". It matches the Rfam family "Bacterial small subunit ribosomal RNA", at positions 524 to 776 of the family's 1533-position model. The record is from RNAcentral.
UACGUAGGUGGCAAGCGUUGUCCGGAUUUACUGGGUGUAAAGGGCGUGCAGCCGGGCUGACAAGUCAGAUGUGAAAUCCCGCGGCUCAACCGCGGAACUGCAUUUGAAACUGUCAGUCUUGAGUACCGGAGAGGUCAUCGGAAUUCCUUGUGUAGCGGUGAAAUGCGUAGAUAUAAGGAAGAACACCAGUGGCGAAGGCGGAUGACCGGACGGCAACUGACGGUGAGGCGCGAAAGCGUGGGGAGCAAACAGG